RNAcentral lists this ribosomal RNA (425 nucleotides) under uncultured bacterium. RNAcentral's name for it is "bacterial SSU rRNA". It matches the Rfam family "Bacterial small subunit ribosomal RNA", at positions 354 to 796 of the family's 1533-position model. The record is from RNAcentral.
GUGGGGAAUCUUAGACAAUGGGGGAAACCCUGAUCUAGCCAUGCCGCGUGAGCGAUGAAGGCCUUAGGGUUGUAAAGCUCUUUCAGCUGGGAAGAUAAUGACGGUACCAGCAGAAGAAGCCCCGGCUAACUCCGUGCCAGCAGCCGCGGUAAUACGGAGGGGGCUAGCGUUGUUCGGAAUUACUGGGCGUAAAGCGCACGUAGGCGGAUCAGACAGUCAGAGGUGAAAUCCCAGGGCUCAACCUUGGAACUGCCUUUGAAACUCCUGGUCUUGAGGUCGAGAGAGGUGAGUGGAAUUCCGAGUGUAGAGGUGAAAUUCGUAGAUAUUCGGAGGAACACCAGUGGCGAAGGCGGCUCACUGGUCCAUUACUGACGCUGAGGUGCGAAAGCGUGGGGAGCAAACAGGAUUAGAAACCCCAGUAGUCC